Onthophagus taurus is the source of this 134-nucleotide non-coding RNA. Lineage: Eukaryota; Metazoa; Arthropoda; Insecta; Coleoptera; Scarabaeidae. The record is from RefSeq and is a predicted model, not a curated record.
UCGAAUUCAUUCGACGAUGAACAUUUUUCCUUUUUCUGAUUUUGUUUCCUAAAAACUUGACGUUGUGCCUGAGGAAGAGACUUUAAGUCUCGAAACAUGUAGCACUUAUAUAAAAAUAAAUUUCUUUCAUCGUU